Non-coding RNA from Acanthosepion pharaonis, 108 nucleotides. NCBI's taxonomy places the organism in Eukaryota, Metazoa, Mollusca, Cephalopoda, Sepiida, Sepiidae. The record is from the annotation of a GenBank genome assembly.
GGCCACAUCAGAUUGAAGCACCAGUUCUCAUAUGAUCACCAAAGUUAAGCAAUGUCGAGUCUGGCCAGUAUUUAGAUGGGUGGCUGUUUGGAGAGACCGGGUGCUAUA